This 1623-nucleotide long non-coding RNA is filed under the name Marmota monax (woodchuck). The record is from RNAcentral. Lineage: Eukaryota; Metazoa; Chordata; Mammalia; Rodentia; Sciuridae.
UGGGGAUUGAACUCAGAGGUACUUGACCACUGAACUAUAUCCCCAGCCCUAUUUUGUAUUUUAUUUAGAGACAGGGUCUCACUGAGUUGCUUAGGGCCUUGCUGUUGCUGAGGCUGGCAUCAAACUCACAAUUCUCCUAUCAGUCUCCCGAGCCACUGGGAUUACAGGCAUGCGCCACCAUGCCCUCCUUGGACUGCUGUCUUUUAUAAGGCUUACAGUACUAGUACUAUUGGAUAGUUUGAAUUAUUUGUAUAUAUUAAUUUACUGUAAAAAUCACAUUAAAACACAUGUAAGACGCUGCUCUCAGUCAUCAAUAAUCAUUCUUUUCUCCGUAUGGGCGCUCUAGGCAGUUGACAGUUCCUCUCAAGUGUUUGUAACAUUCCAAUCCAUUCAUCCUGUAGCCAGAGGGAUUUUUUUUUUUUUUCCAAAAUGCAGAUUUGAGCCACCUCACUUUCCCUGCUUGAAACUUGUUAAUGGUCUUGCCUUACCCACCUUUCCAACUUACUCCACAGUGCUGCCCAUGUUUGCAGCCCCAGCCACAUGGGCCUUCUGUCAGUCUUUUGACAGGGCUUGCUGUUGUCACAAAGCUUUGCAUGGCCUGCUUCCUCAGCCUGGAAUGCUCUUUCCCUUCUUCCUAUGGUGACUUUCACUGGGUCUUAGAUCACCACUCUGCUGUUACAGUCUCACAGAAAGCUUGUCAGGUCCUUUACCAGGUAGCAUAUUACUCCCACAGCACCUGCACUUGACCUUCCUGGUGCUCAUUGCACAUAGCUUCGUUUUGCUUCUGUGAGUAUUUGACUGAUGUUUCUCUUUCCCACCAGCUCUGUAAUUCUCACAAGAGCAGAACUAUGUCUGUUUGUGUUUCCCUUGGUGCCUGGAACAAAUUAGGCGCUCAAUAAAUAGUGUUGACUGGCUCAAAUUUCCUUGUCAUUCUGUUAUUCUAUCAAUAUGCAAAACUUAGGGAUUUUUUUCCUAAUUAAUAUUAAAAACAAACAAAAUCCACUUCCCUAAUCUCUGAACUAAAACUGAGGAGAAGGAAAAUGGUUGCCUGUGACUUUAUGGGGCAGAUCCUUAUAGUUUUAAAACUCUAAUUUAAUGUCCUAAGAUAAACAAGACAGAACUAGAGCUGGGGAGAGAUUGGGAAAAUGUUUUCCUGCCUAAAAAGUUGGAUGUUGACUUUUGCUAUGUAUGGGAAUAUCAAAGCAAAUGUAAGAAAGGAGUGGAAAGAUUUGGGGCCUCAGUAGGAAUUCGGAGUCCUAGGUGGGUAGGAGAAUUGUGGGAGAAUCUUUAUACAAAUUAGAUUUUAUGCUGGUCCUAUUGCCUGGAAGUAAGUCCCCAUUCCUCAUACUUUCUCCAAAGUCUGCUAGGCACAUGAUUUGGGGUGGGGGGGAUACAACCCUGAACAUCACCAAAUGAGAAUAACUUCUGAAUUCCAUGGCUGGGUUGAUCUGAGGGCAUGGACAGCAGGAGGGAAGAGUGGAUAAUUCCUAAAGGAAUAGAGUUCACAGAAGCUGAAGCCAGCGGUGACCAAGGAACUCAAGACAUUUUCAGGAAAUUGAUAGGAGGGCACUGAAAUUUAUAUAGCCCAUGGAAUGAAGGGGAGUCGAGUUGAGCCAAUUUUAU